This 438-nucleotide ribosomal RNA is filed under the name uncultured bacterium. RNAcentral describes it as "bacterial SSU rRNA". It matches the Rfam family "Bacterial small subunit ribosomal RNA", at positions 958 to 1381 of the family's 1533-position model. The record is from RNAcentral.
AACGCGAAGAACCUUACCAGCCCUUGACAUGUCCCGUAUGGGGCCGAGAGAUCGGCUUCUUCAGUUCGGCUGGCGGGAACACAGGUGCUGCAUGGCUGUCGUCAGCUCGUGUCGUGAGAUGUUGGGUUAAGUCCCGCAACGAGCGCAACCCUCACCUUCAGUUGCCAUCAGGUUAAGCUGGGCACUCUGAAGGAACUGCCGGUGACAAGCCGGAGGAAGGCGGGGAUGACGUCAAGUCCUCAUGGCCUUUAUGGGCUGGGCUACACACGUGCUACAAUGGCGGUGACAGAGGGAGGCAACGGGGCGACCCUUAGCCAAUCUCGAAAAGCCGUCUCAGUUCGGAUUGUUCUCUGCAACUCGAGAGCAUGAAGCUGGAAUCGCUAGUAAUCGCGGAUCAGCACGCCGCGGUGAAUACGUUCCCGGGUCUGACCACCAAGG